Molecule: transfer RNA, 72 nt
Filed under: Ovis aries (sheep)
Lineage: Eukaryota; Metazoa; Chordata; Mammalia; Artiodactyla; Bovidae
Rfam family: tRNA
About the family: Transfer RNA (tRNA) molecules are approximately 80 nucleotides in length. Their secondary structure includes four short double-helical elements and three loops (D, anti-codon, and T loops). Further hydrogen bonds mediate the characteristic L-shaped molecular structure. tRNAs have two regions of fundamental functional importance: the anti-codon, which is responsible for specific mRNA codon recognition, and the 3' end, to which the tRNAs corresponding amino acid is attached (by aminoacyl-tRNA synthetases). tRNAs cope with the degeneracy of the genetic code in two manners: having more than one tRNA (with a specific anti-codon) for a particular amino acid; and 'wobble' base-pairing, i.e. permitting non-standard base-pairing at the 3rd anti-codon position.
Source: Rfam by way of RNAcentral
CCCCUUGUAGCUCAGUUGGUAGAGAAUCUGCCUGUAAUGCAGGAGACCUGGGUUUGAUUCCUGGGUUGGGAA